AGAGUUUGAUCCUGGCUCAGCGCGAACGCUGGCGGCAUGGUUAAAACAUGCAAGUCGAACGCGAAAGGGAGCAAUCCCAAGUAGAGUGGCGGAAGGGCGAGUAACAUAUUCCUAACGUGCCCCAAGGUCAGGGAUAGCUCAUCGAAAGAUGUGGUAAUACCUGAUGACACUGCGAGGUUGAAUGACCAUGCAGUCAAAGGCUUGCUGCCUUGGGAGCGGGGAAUAUCCUAUCAGCUAGUUGGUGAGGUAAUGGCUCACCAAGGCUAAGACGGGUAGCCGGUGUGAGAGCACGGCCGGCCGCAUCGGGACUGAGACACUGCCCGGACUCCUACGGGAGGCUGCAGUAACGAAUAUUCCACAAUGGGCGCAAGCCUGAUGGAGCAAUGCCGCGUGCAGGAUGAAGCCCCUCGGGGUGUAAACUGCUGUCAGGGUUCAGGAAGUCAAUGACCAGACCCAAAGAAGAGCGACUGCCCA
This 474-nucleotide ribosomal RNA is filed under the name uncultured Simkania sp. Its description in RNAcentral is "bacterial SSU rRNA". It matches the Rfam family "Bacterial small subunit ribosomal RNA", at positions 8 to 500 of the family's 1533-position model. Lineage: Bacteria; Pseudomonadati; Chlamydiota; Chlamydiia; Parachlamydiales; Simkaniaceae. The record is from RNAcentral.